UUGAACGCUGGCGGCAUGCCUUACACAUGCAAGUCGAACGGUAGAGGGGCAACCCUUGAGAGUGGCGAACGGGUGAGUAAUAUAUCGGAACGUGCCCAGUCGUGGGGGAUAACGCAGCGAAAGCUGCGCUAAUACCGCAUACGAUCUAAGGAUGAAAGCGGGGGAUCGCAAGACCUCGCGCGAUUGGAGCGGCCGAUAUCAGAUUAGGUAGUUGGUGGGGUAAAAGCCUACCAAGCC
This 237-nucleotide ribosomal RNA is filed under the name uncultured bacterium. RNAcentral describes it as "partial 16S ribosomal RNA". It matches the Rfam family "Bacterial small subunit ribosomal RNA", at positions 30 to 274 of the family's 1533-position model. The record is from RNAcentral.